Long non-coding RNA from Ochotona curzoniae (black-lipped pika), 283 nucleotides. RefSeq lists it as uncharacterized. The transcript is spliced from 5 exons. Lineage: Eukaryota; Metazoa; Chordata; Mammalia; Lagomorpha; Ochotonidae. The record is from RefSeq and is a predicted model, not a curated record.
GAGAACAAGUGAAAAAAUAUCCCUCAGGAGUGUCUCAUCAAUGACAGAUGAAGAGAGGCUUAAUAUGAGAAUUAAGAAGUUUGGUAUAAUUACAAAUGAAGAAUUCAGAAAGUCACCAGGAACUUCUUGCAUUGGAAUCAAUAUGUCAGCUGAAAAAGAAAAUACUGAUACGGAAAAGAAAAGAAAGCGACUGGAACGUUUUGGACUCCCUUGAUACACUCUCUUAACUUUUCCUCCCUAAAGUUUGUAUAAUAAAAGCAUAUAUAGUGGUCAAGUGAAAAUA